This 2415-nucleotide unclassified non-coding RNA is filed under the name uncultured fungus. RNAcentral describes it as "sequence contains 18S rRNA gene, ITS1, 5.8S rRNA gene, ITS2, 28S rRNA gene". The stretch from base 1194 to 2415 matches the Rfam family "Eukaryotic large subunit ribosomal RNA", at positions 1 to 961 of the family's 3401-position model. The record is from RNAcentral. Lineage: Eukaryota; Fungi.
GGAUGGAUCAUUAACACAAUGAAUUCCAAAAACAAACCGUGUAGGAGAAAGAUUCCUUUUAUGUGCUAACACAAGAUGAUGGCAGACAAAUAGGCUCGCUUAUUUUCUAUCUCUUUUGUGUUAUAACACACAUUUGAAAUCUCCUCCCACCGGCCAACCAAAUGUGAACUACCCCCUUUUUUUUGAGAAUAUCAGCACGGGAGGGGGGAAACGUGUGUAGCGGUUGUAUGUGUGUGUGUGUUGCAGUUGGUUUCAACUCUUCACACGCACAUUAUUAUCAAAACAUUAAAUUUUCCCCUCCUUUUGCUGCCCUUCUCAAAAUUCUUUUUUUAAUUUUUCCCAAUUUGUUAACCCAAAAUGCGAAAACUCUUAAAAAGAAUGAAAUAUACCGUAUAUCCAUAUAGAUAUUGUAAAAAAAACAUAAGCACAACUUUCAACAAUGGAUAUCUUGGCUCGCUGAACGAUGAAGAACGCAGCUAGAUGCGAUACGUAAUGUGAAUUGCACACGUCUGUGAAUCAUCAAAUCUUUGAACGCAAGUUGCGCUGCUUCACAGCAGCAUGCCUGUUUGAGCGAUGGUAACAAACCCUUCAAAACAAAAACAAAAAAAAAAAGGGAACAACAUUCGCCGAGUAACAUUGGCGGUAAUGAUUGUCAGCUCGAGAUUGUAUCUCGAGUCAAUCAAAGUUGGUGUAUGAAGCCUGCGAGGUCUGUGAAGAUAAUAUUUCUAUUUAGUAGAAUUAAUUCACUAUACGCACUCUUCACUAUAUCCGCUUUAUGGCUGGUAGGUGUUAUUAGAGCAAAUGUUCACUUUGUUUGCUGUUUUAUUGAUAGUUGAAAGAAUCUAACGAUCCUUUCUUUUGUCUUUUAAAUUUUUGCAUACAUGAAUGUUACGACACUACUAAACAUCCUAUUACUGUAAAACCGGAGAAGAAAUGCAGAAUUAAUAACUUCAUUAUUAAAAAGAGUUAUUUUCAUAUUUUAUUUAAUUAUUAUUUUUUCUUUCGAGAAAAUAAAAAUAAAAUAAAUAAAGCAGCUUGCAACCAUUUUCAUACUGGAAAGUGUAUGAAGAAGCAACAACAACAUUUUGUAAUGUUGUUGUUUCUCCUUUACAUACACACAAGCAUUUUAUUAUGUUUGUCCACUUUUUUUUUUUUUUCUUUAAAAAAAAAAAAAAAAAAAAAACCCAAAACAUCAUCCUCAAAUCAGGUAGGACUACUCCUUGAACUUAAGCAUAUUACUAAAGGAAGGAAAAGAAACUAACUAGGAUUCCCUCAGUAGCGGCGAGCGAAGUGGGAAGAGCUCAGGUUUGAAAUCCUGGCGCUGUCUUUAUUGUACUGGUCGCCAGGAAUUGUAGCCUCGGGAGUGCAUGUCGCGGGAAGAUCGCUGGUGUAAGUCCCCUGGAAUGAGGCGCCCUAGAGGGUGACAGCCCCGUACAUAACCAGCUUUCACGUACCGCACAAGUCAUGUGCUCACAGAGUCGGGUUGUUUGGGAAUUCAGCCUAAAGUGCGAGGUAAACUCCUCGUAAAGCUAAAUAUUGCAGCGAGACCGAUAGCGAACAAGUAGCGUGAGCGAAAGAUGAAAAGAACUUUGAAAAGAGGGUUAAAGCAGUGCUUGAAAUUGUUGAAAGGGAAGCGUUUGGAGUCGGCGUCGACAUGUGGGUGAAUCCAUUGUAGCAGGAGGAUGACGCUGUCAGAUCUGUAGGUGCCGUUACUGGUAUCCUUCUGGCGGUGGCAGUUUUUUUGUCUGCAGGUUACUUUGCUCAUGUGGUCGGUCAGCAUCGGUCAGAUUGUGUUGGCAGUAAAAGCACGGGAGUAUCGGUAGCCUGGCUGCGGCUGGGUGAAGGCUUCUGGAUGGCGUUCGCUGCCCGUCUGACCGAGGAAAGCAUCAUUCGUGCAAAGCAUGCGCCUCUAGGCUGGGUUUCUCCGAUCCAAGUUGUCUAUAUCGAUGAGGGACUGGUACAGUGCCUUGUUGAUGUGGGUGGCUUUCAGGGUCGGGAUGCCACAUGCAUGCUCAGGAUGCUGACGUCGCGCCGCUGUGCGCAAGCACACGCGAACGGCUCUAAACACCCCGUCUUGAAACACGGACCAAGGAGUCUAACAUAUGUGCGAGUAUCGGGGUGAGAAAAACCCGCGGUGCGUAAUGAAAGUGAAGGUAGUCAUUUGGGCUACUGAGGUGGGAAGCCUGUCGACCGAGGCGGGCUGCACCAUCGACCGAUCUGGAUAUUCUUCUGUUUUGAAAGAUUUGAGUGAGAGCACAUCUGUUGGGACCCGAAAGAGGUUGAACUAUGCCUGCAUAGGCUGAAGCCAGAGGAAACUCUGGUGGAGGGUCGUAGCGAUACUGACGUGCAAAUCGUUCGUCAAAUGUGGGUAUAGGGGCGAAAGACUAAUCGAAACUUCUAGUAGCUGGUUCCCUC